ACGCUCGACACUACGGAGGCAGCAGUGGGGAAUAUUGCACAAUGGGGGAAACCCUGAUGCAGCGACGCCGCGUGAGCGAAGAAGUAUUUCGGUAUGUAAAGCUCUAUCAGCAGGGAAGAAACUGACGGUACCUGACUAAGAAGCACCGGCUAAAUACGUACCAGCAGCCGCGGUAAUCUGAGCGGGCGUGGCGAAGGC
RNAcentral lists this ribosomal RNA (198 nucleotides) under uncultured bacterium. RNAcentral's name for it is "partial 16S ribosomal RNA". It matches the Rfam family "Bacterial small subunit ribosomal RNA", at positions 326 to 538 of the family's 1533-position model. The record is from RNAcentral.